UUAUUUAUGACAGAGUUUGGAGGUCUGCUGUGCUCACAUAUGGGUUAUGGGAUCAACUUCGCAUUGAUUGUGGUACUGAGUUCUAUUUAACUAUUUAUAUUCAGGCAAAUCUUUGGAGCAUUUAUGGACCACCCAAUAUACGUCCAUUUUGUCAGACUACUUCAACACAAAAUUUGUGUUGAAAGAAUAUGGCCUCACAUUAACUCCAGAGUGAACUAUCCUAUUAAGAGAAUUCUUCUCUGGAUGGAGCAACAUGAACACAUUGAUAUGACUUGUGA
Long non-coding RNA from Amphimedon queenslandica, 278 nucleotides. RefSeq lists it as uncharacterized. The record is from RefSeq and is a predicted model, not a curated record. NCBI's taxonomy places the organism in Eukaryota, Metazoa, Porifera, Demospongiae, Haplosclerida, Niphatidae. The transcript has 3 exons.